GACGAACGCUGGCGGCGUGCUUAACACAUGCAAGUCGAACGGAAAGGCCUCUUUCGGGGGGUACUCGCGUGGCGAACGGGUGAGUAACACGUGAGUAACCUGCCCUUGACUUUGGGUUAACUUAAGGAAACUGGGGCUAAUACCGGCUAGGAGCUCCUGUUGCAUGGUGGGGGUUGGAAAGUUUCGGCGGUUGGGGAUGGACUCGCGGCUUAUCAGCUUGUUGGUGGGGUAGUGGCUUACCAAGGCUUUGACGGGUAGCCGGCCUGAGAGGGUGACCGGCCACAUUGGGACUGAGAUACGGCCCAGACUCCUACGGGAGGCAGCAGUGGGGAAUAUUGCACAAUGGGUGGAAGCCUGAUGCAGCAACGCCGUGUGCGGGAUGACGGCCUUCGGGUUGUAAACCGCUUUCGCUCAUGACGAAGCUUUGUGUGACGGUAGUGGGUAAAGAAGCACCGGCUAACUACGUG
Molecule: ribosomal RNA, 467 nt
Filed under: uncultured bacterium
Lineage: Bacteria
Description: partial 16S ribosomal RNA
Rfam family: Bacterial small subunit ribosomal RNA
Source: RNAcentral